AAUAAGUGCAGUUUUGACAAUUCAUGUCUAACCUUUGACCGUUCGUUUUAUUUGAUUUUUUUAAAUAAUUAGUAUUUUUAUUGUUAUUAGAUGAUAAAACAUGAAUAGUACAUUAUAUGGGACUAAUUUUUUUUAUUUUUUUCAUAAUUUUUUCAAAUAAGACGGACGGUCAAACGUUGGACACGGAUACCCACGACUGCAUUUAUU
This is a microRNA precursor of Oryza sativa Japonica Group (Japanese rice), 207 nucleotides long. It matches the Rfam family "MIR812 microRNA precursor family". The record is from Rfam. Lineage: Eukaryota; Viridiplantae; Streptophyta; Magnoliopsida; Poales; Poaceae.